RNAcentral lists this ribosomal RNA (344 nucleotides) under Methanobacteriota archaeon. RNAcentral describes it as "bacterial SSU rRNA". It matches the Rfam family "Archaeal small subunit ribosomal RNA", at positions 1 to 358 of the family's 1478-position model. The record is from RNAcentral. Lineage: Archaea; Methanobacteriati; Methanobacteriota.
AAAUCUGGUUGAUCCUGCCAGAGGCGACCGCUUUUGGAGUUCGAUUAAGCCAUGCGAGUCGAGAGCCUUAGGGGCUCGGCAUACUGCUCAGUAACACGUGGAUAACCUGCCCUAUUGUCUGGAAUAACCUCGGGAAACUGAGAACAAGGCCGGAUAACCCACAAUGCCUGGAACGGUUUGUGGGUGAAGAUAGGAUGGGUCUGCGGCGUAUCAGGUCGUAGGGGGUGUAAUGGACCUCCUAGCCAUCGACGCGUACGGGUGUUGGGAGACAUAGCCCGGAGAUGGAUUCUGAGACACGAAUCCAGACCCUACGGGGUGCAGCAGGCGCGAAAACUUCACACUGC